UUGGCGUCCGUGCUGGGGAGUGGUCCCCGGAGCGGGCCUCCACUCCGGCCCUUACUGGGGCCUGCACUGUCGCUCCGGGCCCG
This is a microRNA precursor of Felis catus (domestic cat), 83 nucleotides long. It matches the Rfam family "mir-1343 microRNA precursor family". The record is from Rfam. NCBI's taxonomy places the organism in Eukaryota, Metazoa, Chordata, Mammalia, Carnivora, Felidae.